RNAcentral lists this ribosomal RNA (253 nucleotides) under uncultured bacterium. RNAcentral's name for it is "partial 16S ribosomal RNA". It matches the Rfam family "Bacterial small subunit ribosomal RNA", at positions 524 to 776 of the family's 1533-position model. The record is from RNAcentral.
UACGUACGAGGCGAGCGUUAUCCGGAAUUACUGGGCGUAAAGCGCGCGUAGGCGGAUCUGCAAGUCGGGGGUGAAAUCCCGAGGCUCAACCUCGGAACUGCCUUCGAUACUGCGGGUCUCGAGUCCGGGAGAGGUGAGUGGAAUUCCUAGUGUAGAGGUGAAAUUCGUAGAUAUUAGGAAGAACACCAGUGGCGAAGGCGGCUCACUGGCCCGGUACUGACGCUGAGGCGCGAAAGCGUGGGGAGCAAACAGG